CAAAUGCUCUCACUGAGGCUGGGUUGCUGCUCAUCAUUUCGGGUCCUUGUCCCUGCAGGAGCUUGGAACCAGCAAAGAAUAAACAUCUUAAGAAGACUGCACAGCUCAGCUUGGAACUGCUGGAGAAAGGCAGCCUUUAAGCCUGUGUGUUUUCUUCUUGACGUUCGGUUUUGUGGCAACAAGACUUCCAUCUGCAGGCAAGUGGGGCCAUGGGAUCUGCUAACAUGCAGAAGGAAGAUAGCAGCUCUUUGUGAACUCUCGGGCCUGCUGCACAAUAAGCCAGAACAACACAGAGACAAGAUGCUUUGGAACGUCUGGGAGUCUCUGCUGUCUUAUUACAUACAAGGACCCUGGCAUUUCCUGCUAAUUCAAAGGAAGAGAAGAAAAUUAGUGCCUGUUCUUCAUCAUGUCUGUAUGCUUUUCUGUUCUGUAGCCUCAAAUGCCUGCGAGGCCUGUGAGCUUGAACCUUAGCAUAGACUAAGUAGUAGUUUCCCUUACUCUACUCAUGGUUGUUUUUUUUCUUUUACAUUUAUUUAGUUAUUCAUUGCAGGGGGGGCUGGGGGGGGUGCUGGGGGAGGGGAGGCGGUGCUGCACAUUUGCCAUAGCAUGCUUGUGAAGGUCAGAGGACAACUUUGCUUUGGUUCUCUCCUUCGCAUCAUAUGGGUCCAAGGAAUCAAACUUAAGUCACCAGGCUUAGAGGCAAGAUCCUUUUCCUGCUGAGCCGUCUUGCCAUAUUCUUGAAGUUCCGCCAUUUGAAAAACUGACAUAGGAUUCUCCAAGUUAGACCAACUGUUUUUUGUUUGUUUGUUUGUUUGUUUGUUGUUGUUUUGUUUUUUGUUUUUUUUAAAGGUGAAACUGGAGCCAAAAAUGGAUUUUUUUUGGAUCACACAUCUCCUGUCUCCUGCUGCCGGUGAUGAAGCUGCCAGCCCCACGCCAGUGGGCGGAAAUAGAUACCAGCCCUGGAGGAAGUACUGACUGCUUAUGGGCGCCUGCCACCCUCCCUGCUUCCUCCUCUUCGUGUGGAAGGAAACCGUGGGCUUUCCUGGGCAUUUUUUCUUAUUCUCUUAAUACAGGGGAACUGAAGCAUUUGGCUUUGGUUGUUUGGAUAGUGAAUCUCAGCUUGGAGGGCUUUCCAGAAAGCAGGCGGCUCCGGUCUCUGAACUCUAACUCCGUUUCUCCACCCCCCUUCCGGUGCUGUGCAGUUCUUUCCAAUUCCUGAAUUGACAUGUACAGUACUAGAAAACCUGCAGAGAGCGCCUGGAGGUCACAGCCUGCAUGAGCUUUCAAGCUGGAGAGGGCUAAGUGGAAGGAAGACACUGCACCCCUGGGAUUUCCUCCUGCAAAUGAGAUGAAAUCUAUAUAAAUGUACUCUUUCCCGUCUCAUACCUUUUAUUCGAUUUGCAUACCACGGAUCCGAUGACAACUCUCUUGAAAAGUGCUCCUUUGACUGUUUCAGCCACAGCGGUUCAUGCAAAGAAACUAAAUCUUGGAAAGGAAGGGGCUAACCCCUCCCCAUGCUUGUGCUCAGGAACCACAUGAUGACCAUGACAGACCAUGACCAGGACAUCGGUGGGUGCAAAAAGAAGAAACAAGAGCAC
This 1598-nucleotide long non-coding RNA is filed under the name Mus musculus (house mouse). RNAcentral's name for it is "RNA upstream of Bmp4 expressed in inner ear". Lineage: Eukaryota; Metazoa; Chordata; Mammalia; Rodentia; Muridae. The record is from RNAcentral.